Molecule: long non-coding RNA, 1006 nt
Organism: Dendroctonus ponderosae (mountain pine beetle)
Lineage: Eukaryota; Metazoa; Arthropoda; Insecta; Coleoptera; Curculionidae
Exons: 3
Source: RefSeq, a predicted model, not a curated record
AGUCUGAUGGUAUCAUCAAUCGGUAUAUGUGUUCAUGCAACCUCACACGUAUUUGCCUCCAAGUUUACCACUAAUAUAUAUAUUAAUCAGUAUUUCUCCAUACUUACCACAAAGAAUAAUAACACAUUUUGCGCUCUGCAAUGUUUUAAAUGGAACAUAUUUUAUUCAGUAUGUCAAUGCCAGCAUGUGACAUCUCAGUUGAAUCCUUGACCUAAACCAACAAAUAGCGGAAUGCGAUCAAUUCCAAAUGAAUUGAUACAAUUAUUUCCAUAGAAGUCGACGAGAUUUGAUUGGAUUUGUACUAAUUGAGAUGUGCCUUAAGCCUCCAUCCACUUCACAAUGGCCCACUCAAAGGACUGUUUUCUACGUGACUACACCUACAUAAAAUCCACAACCUACAAUUCAAGCGAGGACAAACGAUUCUUCUCGAAUUUAGUCGUUUUCCUUCGCCGUAAUGCGAGAGAGCAAUAACGCAAAAUGGUCACGUUUCUAAUAAUGAGGAAAGAAGAUAUUGUCCUAGAUUUUCUGCUGCUGCUGCUGCUGCUGGAAAGGCACUGAUGCAGUGAGAAGCCGGUGAAGGUAAAAUCAUAAUUAAUAUGACGGUCGUGGACUUUAUUUUACAUUCAUGUGGCUUACGUUAAUUGUGUCAGCUCGUAUACUGCGUUUGGUAUUGAACUGUGGAAAAAAAAUACGGAUGACGUGAUGGAGUAAAGUGCAAAUUCGCACUAUACAUGACUGAAACACCUGCUUCAGCUGCUGGUAAUCCCCUCUAAAAUAAUGCCGAUUGUUUUUCUGCUCUGGAUUAGUUGUUCUAAAAUUUUGAAAAUCCGGAAACACGGUUAACAAAAAAUAUAUUCUAACACUACAUAUAUAUUAUAAUAUAAUAGGCGCAAAUAACGCAUAAAUCACACCUCAAAAGAAUUAAUUUCAGUUCUGUUUUUACGCAAAUUCUGUUUACUUCUGGAAAAGCUGAAAUACGUUUUCUGAGUGCGCCGUGCUUGUGCUA